GGGGAAUAUUGCACAAUGGGGGAAACCCUGAUGCAGCAACGCCGCGUGAAGGAUGAAGGUUUUCGGAUUGUAAACUUCUUUAGUCAGGGACGAAUAAAUGACGGUACCUGAAGAAUAAGCCACGGCUAACUACGUGCCAGCAGCCGCGGUAAUACGUAGGUGGCGAGCGUUGUCCGGAAUUACUGGGUGUAAAGGGCGUGUAGGCGGGAAUGUAAGUCAGAUGUGAAAUCCCAGGGCUUAACUCUGGAGCUGCAUCUGAAACUAUGUUUCUUGAGUGUCGGAGAGGAAAGCGGAAUUCCUAGUGUAGCGGUGAAAUGCGUAGAGAUCGGGAGGAACACCAGUGGCGAAGGCGGCCUGCUGGGCUUUAACUGACGCUGAAGCACGAAAGCAUGGGUAGCAAACA
This 403-nucleotide ribosomal RNA is filed under the name uncultured Clostridium sp. Its description in RNAcentral is "bacterial SSU rRNA". It matches the Rfam family "Bacterial small subunit ribosomal RNA", at positions 356 to 774 of the family's 1533-position model. The record is from RNAcentral. Lineage: Bacteria; Bacillati; Bacillota; Clostridia; Eubacteriales; Clostridiaceae.